GUUCACUACCUGUUAAACAUAAAAUGAGAAUAUAGACCUUGGUGGAUUCAUGAAUGAUAUUUUAAUAUUGUGUAAGGUUUGCAAUUUUUUUAUACGACCUGUAGAUCCUGAAAUACCAAGAAACUUCCAUGUGACCUCUUGGAGCAGCAGCAGCAGUUUGACAGUGGCUUGGGAUUGUCCUUGGAACAAUAAGUUCUCCUUCUUCCUCCUCACUGUGCUCUUCCUCAAUGGCACAAACCACGUGGUGGACGAGAAAUUCCACAGGAAGGAGCAGGAGCCUUUCACCUUCACCCUGGAAAACGUGCCCCCCUGCAGCAGAGUGCAGUUCGCCAUACGCACUGUUUGUGGUUUGGGGGCGGAAGCUCGCAGGAGCAAGACUGUUAUGAUUGAUGGUAACUCUGGUAAGAAACGGAGCAGAAUCUUCUCUGAAGACAUUCCACCUUAUGCUACUUAACACCUUUUGGGGUCAGUCCCAAAAAGUUGUUUUUUUUUUUUUUUUUUUUUUUUUUUUUUUAAACCAGUGGUGGGGCUACAGAUUUCUGUCACUAUUAAUAAGGUCUAGUGAACUUUUAUAUUUUUCCUCAUGCUUCCUAGCUCACUCUGAAAUUGAAAACCUGCAUCAGUUCCAUGGUGGACCAGACAACUACACCUUGAUUUGGAGCAUCAAGAACACCUCGUCCAUUGCUUUUUUCAGGGUGUACCAUGAAGGGAGAAUGCAUGGCUCUACAUUCAGCACCACACACACUGUGGGAAACCUGGAGCCCUGCCAUCGACACAUGGCCAGGGUGGAGGCUGUGUGUAGUGAGAGCGUAGUCAUGAGUGUGAAGACCCUGCAGACAUACACUGGUCCCCAAGGUGUGGUAAACCUGCGCUACAGACCUGAAGCCUCCACGGCUCUCUGGAGCAGACGGUCUGGACCAGGCACAGUAUUCAGUUACAAGCUCUCCUACCGAAACGGCUCUCUGGUCCACAAAGGGCGGCUGCAGCAGCCAGUGUUGCCUCUGAUCGACUUGGUUCAGGGCCUGUCCUACAUCCUGCAAGUAUGGGAGGCAUGCCUGGGGUUGUGGAGCCAGAGUCCAGCUGUGCUACACUUCAGCAAAGAGAAUGGGUCUCUUGACCUCUCGACUCCUGAUUAUGGUGAGGUCCGCUCAUUAUAAGAGCAUUUUGUUUAAAGCAGGGGUGUCACGGCCCAUGGGCCACGAGCGUAUCCUGAGAGAUCACUAUGUAUAUGACACAAAGUACAAAUCCCAUAAUGCAGUGCUUCAGUUGCCUUGACAAAACACGAUCUUUACGCUGCAGCUUAAUCUGUACUUGAGCAGUUCCCACGUUGACAGCAAAUGGGUUGUGAGGCAGCUCAAUUGUUUAGUUUUUUUUUUUUUUUGGUUUAAAGCUUCUCUGGGCUUAGACCUGUUCCUCUCCCAUAACUUUCUGAAGAUUUAGAGUGCAACUUAUCUUCUUCUCUGGCUGUCGUUGUUCCCUGGAUGCUGCCUGAAGACUUUAAAGAUCCUAAGGCGGCAGUACGUCUCACACUUGAGAAAAUCGUCAAAACUAAAGUCAGUUCAUACUUUGUGAAGUUUGAAGUUGCACCUGAAUUUGUCAAUUUGAUCCCAUAUGUCAUUCGGUCCUUAGCUGGAAGACCUUCUGCGCUUGUUUCUUCACCCAUUAAAAGUUGACAUUUUAGAGCUUGCGGAUUUUGGUCAAAACGGGACAAAAAUCAGCUUCCAGACAUUAGACGCCUCUGUUGCGAACGCCAUGGAUCCUUUUCCAUCUGCUGAGCUGCUGGACUUCCUUCAGAUACUGCAACCUGCCAAUAUCACAAUAAAAGACAACUACCUGUUUUGGGAUGGUGAGUCAGCAUUGCUUUCCCUGUUUACAAUGAAUACAACAUUAGAAAAUAUCUAAUUCAUAUUGAAUCAUAUGGGGGCAGUGG
Molecule: long non-coding RNA, 1930 nt
Organism: Denticeps clupeoides (denticle herring)
Lineage: Eukaryota; Metazoa; Chordata; Actinopteri; Clupeiformes; Denticipitidae
Source: Ensembl